Phaseolus vulgaris (common bean) is the source of this 106-nucleotide non-coding RNA. The record is from Rfam. NCBI's taxonomy places the organism in Eukaryota, Viridiplantae, Streptophyta, Magnoliopsida, Fabales, Fabaceae.
GACCCAUGAUUUGGAAAUUUCCUCAACAUCAUUUUGAAUCUCUCCUAUGUCUCACAAAAAGAUUCUUCUGCUCUUUGUCUGAACAUAGAGAUUUCAGACUUAGCUU